RNAcentral lists this ribosomal RNA (459 nucleotides) under uncultured bacterium. RNAcentral describes it as "partial 16S ribosomal RNA". It matches the Rfam family "Bacterial small subunit ribosomal RNA", at positions 338 to 795 of the family's 1533-position model. The record is from RNAcentral.
CCUACGGGAGGCUGCAGUGAGGAAUAUUGGUCAAUGGCCGCAGGGCUGAACCAGCCAAGUCGCGUGAGGGAUGACGGUCCUAUGGAUUGUAAACUUCUUUUGUCAGGGAGCAAAGGGCGCCACGUGUGGCGCUUUGCGAGCACCUGAAUAAAAAGCAUCGGCUAACUCCGUGCCAGCAGCCGCGGUAAUACGGAGGAUGCGAGCGUUAUCCGGAUUUAUUGGGGUGAAAGGGUGCGCAGGCGGAAUGCCAAGUCAGCGGUAAAAUUUCGGGGCUCAACCCCGUCGUGCCGUUGAAACUGGCGUUCUUGAGUGAGCGAGAGGUAUGCGGAAUGCGUGGUGUAGCGGUGAAAUGCAUAGAUAUCACGCAGAACUCCGAUUGCGAAGGCAGCAUACCGGCGCUCAACUGACGCUCAUGCACGAAAGCGUGGGUAUCGAACAGGAUUAGAUACCCCUGUAGUC